This 424-nucleotide ribosomal RNA is filed under the name uncultured bacterium. RNAcentral's name for it is "bacterial SSU rRNA". It matches the Rfam family "Bacterial small subunit ribosomal RNA", at positions 355 to 776 of the family's 1533-position model. The record is from RNAcentral.
UGAGGAAUAUUGGUCAAUGGACGCAAGUCUGAACCAGCCAUGCCGCGUGCAGGAAGAAUGCCCUAUGGGUUGUAAACUGCUUUUAUUUGGGAAUAAACCCCCCUACGUGUAGGGGGCUGAAGGUACCAAACGAAUAAGCACCGGCUAACUCCGUGCCAGCAGCCGCGGUAAUACGGAGGGUGCAAGCGUUAUCCGGAAUCAUUGGGUUUAAAGGGUCCGCAGGCGGACAAGCAAGUCAGUGGUGAAAUCCCAUCGCUUAACGAUGGAACUGCCAUUGAAACUGUUUGUCUUGAAUUCGGUCGAAGUGGGCGGAAUGUGUCAUGUAGCGGUGAAAUGCAUAGAUAUGACACAGAACACCGAUAGCGAAGGCAGCUCACUAGGUCUGAAUUGACGCUCAGGGACGAAAGCGUGGGGAGCGAACAGG